GAUGAACGCUGGCGGCGUGCCUAAUACAUGCAAGUCGAGCGAACGGACGAGACGCUUGCUUCUCUGAUGUUAGCGGCGGACGGGUGAGUAACACGUGGAUAACCUACCUAUAAGACUGGGAUAACUUCGGGAAACCGGAGCUAAUACCGGAUGAUCUUUUGAACCGCAUGGUUCAAAAGUGAAAGACGGUCUUGCUGUCACUUAUAGAUGGUUCCGCGCUGCUUUAGCUAGUUGGUAAGGUAACGGCUUACCAAGGCAACGAUGCAUAGCCGACCUGAGAGGGUGAUCGGCCACACUGGAACUGAGACACGGUCCAGACUCCUACGGGAGGCAGCAGUAGGGAAUCUUCCGCAAUGGGCGAAAGCCUGACGGAGCAACGCCGCGUGAGUGAUGAAGGUCUUCGGAUCGUAAAACUCUGUUAUUAGGGAAGAACAUAUGUGUAAGUAAAUGUGCACAUCUUGACGGUACCUAAUCAGAAAGCCACGGCUAACUACGU
This 496-nucleotide ribosomal RNA is filed under the name uncultured bacterium. RNAcentral's name for it is "partial 16S ribosomal RNA". It matches the Rfam family "Bacterial small subunit ribosomal RNA", at positions 28 to 506 of the family's 1533-position model. The record is from RNAcentral.